GACAAAAGUGUCAGAACGCGGACAAAUAGAUUUAGGAAUAUUUGACUCUGGAAGUUGGGAGUUAGGGAAUUAUUCGCUAGGGGAAGUGACUUCUAGAGGUCGAAAUAGUCCUGGGAAAUGCAGACGACAGAAGCUGCUUCAUCUAAAUGAGGAGUUGCCUCGGAAUAGGUUAGGUAUUUAGCAAAGUCUUCGC
Long non-coding RNA from Wasmannia auropunctata (little fire ant), 193 nucleotides. RefSeq lists it as uncharacterized. The transcript has 2 exons. The record is from RefSeq and is a predicted model, not a curated record. NCBI's taxonomy places the organism in Eukaryota, Metazoa, Arthropoda, Insecta, Hymenoptera, Formicidae.